Molecule: non-coding RNA, 64 nt
Organism: Myotis brandtii (Brandt's bat)
Lineage: Eukaryota; Metazoa; Chordata; Mammalia; Chiroptera; Vespertilionidae
Source: Rfam
GGCCUCCCUCUGCGGAGCGAUCGAUCAUGGGGCCCCCAGAUCGAUCGCCCUUCAGAGGGUGGCC